Molecule: ribosomal RNA, 373 nt
Filed under: uncultured organism
Description: partial 16S ribosomal RNA
Rfam family: Bacterial small subunit ribosomal RNA
Source: RNAcentral
GGAGAGGCAAGCGUUGUCCGGAAUUAUUGGGGCGUAAAGAGCGCGUAGGCUGUUUUUCAAGUCAUAUGUGAAAACCUCAGGGCUUAACUUGAGGACUGCAUAUGAAACUGGAAAACUUGAGUGCAGUAGGGGAAAGUGGAAUUCCUGGUGUAGCGGUGAAAUGCGCAGAUAUCAGGAAGAACACCGGUAGCGAAGGCGGCUUUCUGGGCUGCUACUGACGCUGAGGCGCGAAAGCUAGGGGAGCAAACAGGAUUAGAUACCCUGGUAGUCCUAGCUGUAAACGAUGGACACUAGGUGUGGGAAGUUAUCGACGCUUUCCGUGCCGGAGCUAACGCAUUAAGUGUCCCGCCUGGGGAGUACGGCCGCAAGGCUA